This 1920-nucleotide long non-coding RNA is filed under the name Nicotiana benthamiana. Its description in RNAcentral is "long non-coding RNA (NBEN_LNC035652)". Lineage: Eukaryota; Viridiplantae; Streptophyta; Magnoliopsida; Solanales; Solanaceae. The record is from RNAcentral.
GAGCAUUAAAUGUGUUGUAAACUUGAUUCUAAGUUUUCAAAAAUAUAACAAAAGGAAAAAAAGCCUUAUAUCAUUUCACACUAAAUAUACAAUUCAUCUCCUUGAAGAUUAAAUAAAGUAUGGUCAACAAAAUAAAUCUCUUAAUGUAGUUCACAUAUGUGUCUUCAGUGUGUACGGGCGUGCUUUACUUAGAAUUUAGGUCAAACCAAAUUUGGCACUUAUCAAUACCAACGGUAUGUCACAUGGGAGGAUGUCAUCAAAAUCCUUACGCCUUGCUCAAUCAUUUCGCAUGUUUGACUCCUUCUCACGUAUCUGUUGGGGAUUUCCAUUUUUUUUACGAUAGUAUUCAUAUAAGUUUAUUACGAGCAUAAGUAUGAUAUGAUAUUCGGACCAGUUUAUUCGUAACUAUCUUAAUUUUUUAAUCCUUGCUGAAUGAGCUUCGGGGUAGGACUAGUCCGUUAGGUUAUUGUCUUGGUCUAAUAGUGGUGUAUGUCAUGUCCAUACUAUUUUUCUGUUUUUUCAUAAUACAGUAGUAUUAUAAUUGAUUGUUGUUAUUGAUUUUCUGUCUAUUUUCUGUAUCCUAAUAUGCUUAUAUUAUUUUUUUGGAUUUUUGUUGUCACAUAUUCUAUUUGCCUAUUUUAGUCUUUUCUGAGUUGAAUGUCUCUCGGAAAUAGCAUCGCUAUCCCUCCGGGUUAAGGGUAAUUAGGUCUGCAUAUAUUCUAAUCUCCUCAGACUCCAUUUAUGAGAUUUUAGUGAGUUGUUGUUGUUUAAUCCUUGCUUAAUUGUUUCACAUCUCUCUCUUUUUCACGAAACUAUAGGUGAUUUCCAUUUCUUUUUCUCUUUUAAGAUGGUGUUCAAAUCAGUGUUUUCGUACUUUGCCUAUUUUAUCCGACAGCACAAGUACCGGAAUUCUAAUCAUUUGGACUAUUUCUGCUAGGGUUCUUUGGCAUCUUUUGUUCUAUUUACUUAUUUAUCUACAUGUAUCACAAUUAGAAAAAUGUUUGAAAGAAAAAAUGGAAAGAGAAUUAGUAGAAAACUAUUAAAUCGUGCGAUAGGAUGGUACGUACAUAUUCCUAUACUUUUAAACAGAAGUCUCACGUUAAAGAACCACUUCAUAUAAAGCGUUUUAUCCUCUCUUUUUCCUCACUGGAUUUAAUUAUGCGAAUCUAAAUUAAUUGGACGGAUAGAGGAGAAAGAUGAUUCGACAAAGGAAGCAGUGCAGUACUAUACAUAUACGUGGUUGAGAAGAACGAUAAGACUACCAUUAUAGCGAAAGCAUGUGAAUCCUAGAAAUUUGCCAUGCCAAAUAGAACAAGGCUCAACCAGUAGCUCUCACUCAUGAAUAAUUGAAUAUAUAGAUUUUGUUUAUUCACAUACGUCAAUUCUUACUUAACCGAUUCUUUUUCCCUCUACAAAUUAAUUUCUAACUCAAAACGAAAAUUCACGGACAAAUAUGAUAGAAAAUUGAGAACAAUGUGUUAGCGUAAUAUUUGAGUUGAAGUUGAAAGAAGUAUUUGAUAUUGAAAUUGAAAAACAAAUGUGGAAAUCGUUUCUGUUGUAUUUGGAUAUAAAUUUCAUUUGAAAAAAGAUCGUGAAAAUAAAAGAGUUGUGAGUGAAAAUAAGACGAUAACAACAACCCAGUAUAAUAAUGUAAGUGGAGUCUGAGGAGGAUAUAAUUAUGCAGCCUUAUCCCUGUUGGUAAGGGUGUACAUAGACCGGGUUGGUUCGGAUUUUACAAUUACCAAACCAAACCGAUUGUGUCGGGUUAUUAAAUAUAAAGACCAAACCAAACCAAUAAAUUCGGGUUUUUCAAUAUCAAUUUUUCUCGGGUUUUUUUGGGUUUUCGGGUUAUUCGGGUUUUUUCGAAUUUUUUUCCUGUAAAAUCUUCGUAGAACAAAAUAUAUAACGUAUGCUCAAAAN